UGGGGAAUCUUGCACAAUGGGCGCAAGCCUGAUGCAGCCAUGCCGCGUGAAUGAUGAAGGCCUUAGGGUUGUAAAAUUCUUUCAUCAGGGGCGAUAAUGACGGUACCUGAAGAAGAAGCCCCGGCUAACUUCGUGCCAGCAGCCGCGGUAAUACGAAGGGGGCUAGCGUUGUUCGGAAUUACUGGGCGUAAAGCGCACGUAGGCGGACUUUUAGGUUUGGGGUGAAAUCCCGGAGCUCAACUCCGGAACUGCCUUGAAUACUGGAAGUCUAGAGGAUGGAAGAGGUAAGCGGAAUACCGAGUGUAGAGGUGAAAUUCGUAGAUAUUCGGUGGAACACCAGUGGCGAAGGCGACUCGCUGGACAAGUAUUGACGCUGAGGUGCGAAAGCGUGGGGAGCAAACAGGAUUAGAUACCCGUGUAGUCC
This 424-nucleotide ribosomal RNA is filed under the name uncultured prokaryote. RNAcentral describes it as "bacterial SSU rRNA". It matches the Rfam family "Bacterial small subunit ribosomal RNA", at positions 355 to 796 of the family's 1533-position model. The record is from RNAcentral.